ACUGUACUGUAUUUGGGCAAGCGGCAAAUUCGCAGCUUUCGACGGCCACGGCCGAUGAUCCGGCGAGCGAGCCGCCGCCUCCUCCCGGCCGUCCCUACGGGGCCACGUCCACGUCCUACGGGGCGGCGGCCUGGACCUCGACCUCUUCUGCGCCAACGUCCUGAUCAACCUGUACGCCAAGCUGGGGCCCUUGGCCGGCGCGCGCAGGGUGUUCGACGCCUUGCCCGAGCGGAACACGGCGUCCUUCGUCACGCUCCUCCAGGCCCACGCGCUGCGCGGGGAGCUCGAGGCCGCCGCGGCGCUGUUCCGGAGGCUGCGGCGGGAGGGGCACGAGGUGAACCAGUUCGUGCUCACCUCGGUGCUCAAGCCCGUCGUCGCCAUGGACGACGCUCUGGGGCUCGCCUGCGCGUGCAGGCUGGGCCAUGACCGGAACGCCUUCGCUGGUCGACGCCUACUCCAUGUGCGGGGCUGUCGGUGACGCAAGGCACCUGUUUGAUGGCAUCGUGGGUAAGGACGCCAUUCGCUGGACAUAAAAGGCACUCUUCGUUCAGCCGAAUCAUGUACCAGGUUGGCAUCAAUCAGCAGGGUAGUUUGCAAAACCAAAAAAAUGCUUGCUUGAUUGGACUUGGCAAAGGUUAACACUGCAGGACAAUUAUAUGAGCAUUUGGUUCCAAGCUACACUAUACGACGUAGAUUGCCAGAUUAUUCGUUUCGCAAUAUCUUUUGGCUUUUAUGGAGCCACCAAGAUCUGAUUGUAUACCGUCCCAUCUGGUUGACGUUUUCAUGCAUUGAACAAUGCGAUCCUCAUGAUCUUCCGGCCAAAGCAAAGAGGUUUGACAGUUUCUUUAAUCAGCUCUACAAAAUUUCACUUGCAUCCAGCCAUGAAUACAUUUGUAAGGCCUUUUUCCUUUUACAUGGAGCACCAUCAAUAUGGCUUAUUUGCAACGUCAGCUGCACAAAGUAAUAAAUCAAGUGCCGCUAAGGGUGCAGUUCACGAGUUACCAUCAGUGAGAAGAUAACAUUAUACCGAUCACAUUCACGAUCUUGUGAGAUCCGAGAUUCCGGGAACCCCUGUUGAGCUGCGGAGAACUGGUGCGUUUUGGCGGGAAGUCGGGAAGAUGAUGAACUGUUUCUUCAUUCACCUGGCCAGGGCAUGGUUUGAGAUCGAUUGCAGAGACGGCGCGGGGUGCGGCGCAUUCAAUCCUUGGACGGCACGGUGGAUAUCCGCCGGCACCAAGGGCCUUGUGCGGCAGAUUGUUGUACUCCAUGCGUUCUCAAGUUGUGAUGAAUCCGUGGUUGCCGAUGGCAAUGCAGGAUGGUGAGAUCUGGGAACGGCUGCAGGAAGGCGCUGUGGCAGUGUACCGAGCAGCUGAAGACUCUGGGCAACAGCCUGAAGCCAGUCGGGUCGGGUCGCUCCACAUGGCAUCAGAAAUAAGUGUAGAGACCCCGCAAAAAAUAGAGUGUCUGGGAAUUGCGCCCACGAUCCGGUUAUUGUCCAGCACAGUCACUGACGCAGAUACUUCUGGAAUCCAGCGCCGGUUGCUUUCGCCGCGGAACGUGACAAAUCGUGAAGUAACAGGGCAGAGAUUCCGCCGUUUAGCCCUACGUGUUUGGCAGCCUCCAACAGGUGACAGCGAUGAUGCCAGAAAUAUUUCAAGCACAGACGCUUCCGAAAGGAUGUGUGCUCGGCGGCCGGACUGAUGUGCCGCUUCCUCCUCUUCGGAGUUCACACUAUUUUCAUCUUCUUUCUCUGACAUCACGCACCCAAUCUCCUGCGCCGUGCUUGGCCAGAAUAACGCCCAUGCUGCCAUGCACGUCGCGCGCCGUCGUCAUAGCUUUGGUUAUUUUCAUGGUUUAUAGUUAGCAAAUUUCAUGUUCUUUUCUGCCGGCCGACCGACCGACCGGAACCCAAGUUGGAGUGAUGUCUGUUUUAAAUAUUAAAGUCAAAGAGCUCGUCGGAAUCAAACCCUCACGUCUAA
Long non-coding RNA from Triticum aestivum (bread wheat), 1979 nucleotides. RefSeq lists it as uncharacterized. The transcript is spliced from 6 exons. NCBI's taxonomy places the organism in Eukaryota, Viridiplantae, Streptophyta, Magnoliopsida, Poales, Poaceae. The record is from RefSeq and is a predicted model, not a curated record.